This 507-nucleotide ribosomal RNA is filed under the name Staphylococcus aureus. RNAcentral's name for it is "partial 23S ribosomal RNA". It matches the Rfam family "Bacterial large subunit ribosomal RNA", at positions 195 to 701 of the family's 2925-position model. The record is from RNAcentral. Lineage: Bacteria; Bacillati; Bacillota; Bacilli; Caryophanales; Staphylococcaceae.
GAAACAUCUUAGUACCCGGAGGAAGAGAAAGAAAAUUCGAUUCCCUUAGUAGCGGCGAGCGAAACGGGAAGAGCCCAAACCAACAAGCUUGCUUGUUGGGGUUGUAGGACACUCUAUACGGAGUUACAAAGGACGACAUUAGACGAAUCAUCUGGAAAGAUGAAUCAAAGAAGGUAAUAAUCCUGUAGUCGAAAAUGUUGUCUCUCUUGAGUGGAUCCUGAGUACGACGGAGCACGUGAAAUUCCGUCGGAAUCUGGGAGGACCAUCUCCUAAGGCUAAAUACUCUCUAGUGACCGAUAGUGAACCAGUACCGUGAGGGAAAGGUGAAAAGCACCCCGGAAGGGGAGUGAAAUAGAACCUGAAACCGUGUGCUUACAAGUAGUCAGAGCCCGUUAAUGGGUGAUGGCGUGCCUUUUGUAGAAUGAACCGGCGAGUUACGAUUUGAUGCAAGGUUAAGCAGUAAAUGUGGAGCCGUAGCGAAAGCGAGUCUGAAUAGGGCGUUUAGUA